AGGGGUAGCAAUUACACCCUCUCUCACACUGGGGCAGAAGCUGACUCUGUUAGUGCAAAGACUAUCUGGCAGGGCCACAUGGAGACGCAGCUUCUGCAGCUAAGCCCAGUUAGUAACUGUGCCCUCAUUUCAGGAGAGUCAUAGUUACUCCCGCUGCUUCAUGCCAGAAGCCAGAGCCCCCCUGGGGGCUUGCCCCCCCUGCCUCACUGGGUCAGUGAAAAAGCUGUCAGAGCAGUGGUACUUCACUGACGGCUGGGACACUGGCAGGCGGGUCACCCUGCACCGCCGAGCGCGCGCCCAGUCUCCCACUUAUUCUACACCUCUCAUGUCUUUUCACAGCGCCAGACUAGAGUCAGGCUCAACAGGGUCUUCUUUCCCCACUGAUUCCGCCAAGCCCGUUCCCUUGGCUGUGAAAUCGUAAGAGCACAC
This is a long non-coding RNA of Corvus hawaiiensis (hawaiian crow), 429 nucleotides long. RefSeq lists it as uncharacterized. The transcript has 3 exons. The record is from RefSeq and is a predicted model, not a curated record. Lineage: Eukaryota; Metazoa; Chordata; Aves; Passeriformes; Corvidae.